UUGUUUGCAUCACAUUCAGACAUGAAUAACAGUAAAAUCUACACGAUGCAAUAUUCACAAAAUAUAACCUCUAUUAUUUCUUUUUUAAAAAACAUACUUUUACAACACAUAGCAAAUAAAUCACAUCCCAUGUCCACUUAUCUUCACCGAUGACAUCAGCUCAAGCCCAAUCUGAAACGAACCUCAUGUUUUCUUUUUUUUCUUUUUUUUCUUUUUUUGCUUACUCUGUUUCUCAUGAAUCAUGUUCAUAAUGUGAGAGAAAUCCAUGCAAGUGAGCAUAGCGCAAUGUUCAUCCCGUUCGCUUUGUUUUGAGCUCUUAUACUGAUCGUGAUUCUAUCUCGGAGUAUUGUUUAGAAUAUUUAACCUUUUAUUAUCAACUCAGAACUUGUAAAUUAUCGCCAAUGCAAUUGAGUUCUGGAAGCUGCUGAGAUUUACGAAAAUCCAUUAAUCUUCAGGGUUAGACUUGUGCAGAUCUUAGUGCCGCUGAAGCUUUGUGAAGUUGGAGAUCUUUUUGUGUUAGCUGUUAUAGUGCUGGAGGAAAUACUCAAGUAUUGAUGGGAUUCACUACCUAUAGAGCAAUGCGAUGUCAUCAAGAACUAUAUAUCACAUCAUAUCGUGCAGCAUUUUAGGAAUGAAGCGUCAUUUUGGGCAGAACGGUUCUAUGUGAAUAAACCGAAUAUCAUUCUUGUUCAGAUAAAGCUGAAGAUGUGGAAUUGAUUGCUAAGAAUUUUGUGCCAACUAUGAUGCAUCCUAUUUUGGGUGAUAAUGCUCGCAAUGUCUCUGACGCACGUGAAUCUGAAGACUCACCUUUGUUUGCAACCAUCAUCAGCAAGUUGAAGGGCGCCAUGAUGGAUGUUUUCUCUAGAAUAUUUGAAGUUGUGUUUGCAUGCACCCUUGAGGUGUUUACUGGGCAAUUUGUGUGGAAAAAUCUAUUUAUUGUGUUGUCGUGCUCUACUGGAUUUUAUGCCCAUAUCCUCCAGCAUUCAUUGAAUCUGGGCCCUCACUAAACCACUUUGAGGUGCAGCAAUAUCAGGUCCAACAACUUUUACGGGUAAAGUGGAAUUUGUUUGAAAUUAGACCAUCAAGCGUUUGGGAACAUCAUUUUCCAACAUGUCUCCUCUUGAGGCAUGUUAUACAGAUUCUCCAUCUCCAUCAUUUCCGGUCACAUAAGUUUCCCAAUUUCGAGCCAGCUAUUUUCUAUUGUGAUUUGUGGUCAUUUAACCUAGUGAAUGAGUUGAAUAUACGCACUAGCUUCACAGAUUCGCAGAAUUCUGGAAAUCCACAACUUUAGAAGUUCUCGAGUUGUGUGUUGGUCACUCUGUUACGUCACACCCCUUUUGGUUGCAUUAGACGAGGUGAAAAAUUUCCUAAUUUUUUCGGAUGUGUGUAGGUGACUUCAUUUGUAAAUGGGCUGUUGAAGAACCGAGUUGAGUCAGGAUCUUUUAAGAAUCAUCUCCGUCAUUUCUUGAUUCAAUCUGAAGAGUAUUCAAUCAGGGUUCUUACGUUUUCCAGUCAAAUGAUCAUGGAUUUAUUAUCGAUUUCCAAUUUCCCAUCAACGCUGUCAUGACAUUAUCUCUCUUCAGCUAUUGGACGUGACUGCCAAUUCUGAAAUUUAGACCUACAAUAUUUCAUAUUGCGCGGCAGUAAUCUCUCUUCAGCUUGUACAGCUUUCAUCACGACGCAGUUGGCUGUGAAUGGAAAUCACUAACGGUGGAUAUGAAGUGCAGGACAACAAGCUGGUUUACAAAAGGGAGGCUGAAAGAAGGCGAAUGCUAAGUAUUCCUGAAGUAGUCGCUCCAAGUGAACUUCAUGAUGAUAUGAUUGAUACCUAGGCACAUUUCUCCAGGAACUCGAGACUUACGAUUCAAGCUCUUGUUGAUCGUCCCCUUUUUCAGCAUGUGUCUGCAUCAGCCCUUUCUAUUAAUGUGGAGCUGUGUUGUUACACAGUACAUUGUGCUUGCGUGAUCCCAGGACCCGACUAAUGCAUGGUGAUAUGUCGAGAAAUGGGCGAUGAUCCUGGCCGGUUUCUAAGUAUAAAUAUCGUACUAGGCUAGAGAAGAUUAUAAAAAUAAUGUGUUAUACACAUUUGUGGGAUCCAGCGAUGAGAGUGACGUAUUCUCUUCUGGGGAAAGAGCAACUAGUGUGGAGAUCGGAGUUCUAGGAGUCGGCCGUACCGUACUUGUGAUAUCUCCGUGCAGAGUAACGGGUUGUGAGGGCGUUGGAGCGUGUUCAGGCACGUGGGCUGGGUAAACAUCUGUUCUGCACCAGUGUCUCAUGUCUUUCCUCGGUGGUUGAAAUGGGACUGCUCCCAAAUGUUUACUUCAGCUGGAAAACGUCAGAUGGUCCAAACAUUUUUUGGUGCUGUAUCAGAACGUUUUGCAUUUUUUCGCUGCUUGAUGAUAUUCUCAUCCAUUCCCUCACCGAUCUACCGGUGUGUAGGCAACGUGGACGCAGUUUUUCUUACUGAAGUCCCAUAUCGAAACCCUCUUGCACUGGAGCUUCUUAUGCAGGUUAGGAUUGAAUUGUUCACAUCAAAGACACUCAAUGCUCACUCUUAUUGGGAGACAACCUCCUACUACAAUAGAAUCUUAUGGUAUGCCUCAAAAGUAUGUGGAUAUAUUUUAUGUUGCCACAUGCGCUGAAACAGCUGAUCAAUACUUAUGUGAGCAAAGACCUUUAGCUAUGUUCACAAAUAGUUUAUGGUUGAUGACAUCGAGCUUAUUAUCUUUACAGCUUGUGACAAUCUCAUACCUAUAAUAUAUUGCUAUUAAAAAC
Molecule: non-coding RNA, 2775 nt
Organism: Physcomitrium patens
Lineage: Eukaryota; Viridiplantae; Streptophyta; Bryopsida; Funariales; Funariaceae
Source: RefSeq, a predicted model, not a curated record